This 254-nucleotide ribosomal RNA is filed under the name uncultured bacterium. RNAcentral describes it as "partial 16S ribosomal RNA". It matches the Rfam family "Bacterial small subunit ribosomal RNA", at positions 524 to 776 of the family's 1533-position model. The record is from RNAcentral.
UACGUAGGGUGCGAGCGUUAAUCGGAAUUACUGGGCGUAAAGCGUGCGCAGGCGGUGAUGUAAGACAGGUGUGAAAUCCCCGGGCUUAACCUGGGAACUGCAUUUGUGACUGCAUCGCUGGAGUGCGGCAGAGGGGGAUGGAAUUCCGCGUGUAGCAGUGAAAUGCGUAGAUAUGCGGAGGAACACCGAUGGCGGAAGGCAAUCCCCUGGGCCUGCACUGACGCUCAUGCACGAAAGCGUGGGGAGCAAACAGG